GACGAACGCUGGCGGCGUGCUUAACACAUGCAAGUCGAACGAAGAGCGAUGGAAGCUUGCUUCUAUCAAUCUUAGUGGCGAACGGGUGAGUAACGCGUAAUCAACCUGCCCUUCAGAGGGGGACAACAGUUGGAAACGACUGCUAAUACCGCAUACGAUCUAAUCUCGGCAUCGAGGAUAGAUGAAAGGUGGCCUCUACAUGUAAGCUAUCACUGAAGGAGGGGAUUGCGUCUGAUUAGCUAGUUGGAGGGGUAACGGCCCACCAAGGCGAUGAUCAGUAGCCGGUCUGAGAGGAUGAACGGCCACACUGGGACUGAGACACGGCCCAGACUCCUACGGGAGGCAGCAGUGGGGAAUCUUCCGCAAUGGACGAAAGUCUGACGGAGCAACGCCGCGUGAGCGAUGACGGCCUUCGGGUUGUAAAGCUCUGUUAAUCGGGACGAAAGGCCUUCUUGCGAAUAGUGAGAAGGAUUGACGGUACCGGAAUAGAAAGCCACGGCUAACUACGUG
RNAcentral lists this ribosomal RNA (510 nucleotides) under uncultured bacterium. RNAcentral's name for it is "partial 16S ribosomal RNA". It matches the Rfam family "Bacterial small subunit ribosomal RNA", at positions 28 to 507 of the family's 1533-position model. The record is from RNAcentral.